RNAcentral lists this ribosomal RNA (1256 nucleotides) under activated sludge metagenome. RNAcentral's name for it is "bacterial LSU rRNA". It matches the Rfam family "Archaeal large subunit ribosomal RNA", at positions 1726 to 2987 of the family's 2987-position model. The record is from RNAcentral.
CCUGACGCGUUCGUACCAAGAACCGACACAGGUGCCCCUAGAUGAAAAGUCUAAGGCGUGUCGGCCUAAUCGAUGCGAGGGAACUCGGCAAAUUAGCCCCGUAACUUCGGGAUAAGGGGUGCCAGCCGCGAGAGUGGCUGGUCGCAGUGGCAAGGGAACUCCGACUGUUUAAUAAAAACACAGAUCGCUGCAAGUCCGAAAGGAUGUGUAUAGCGGUUGAAGCCUGCCCAGUGACGGUAUCUGAAACUCGGGUACAACCGAACGAAGGACCGUUAAACGGCGGGGGUAACUAUGACCCUCUUAAGGUAGCGUAAUACCUUGUCGCUUAAUUGGCGACUUGCAUGAAGGCCCAACGAGAGUUCUACUGUCCCCGCAUCGAAGCCGGUGAAACUAACAGUACUGGUGCACAGUCCAGUAUCUUCCACCUGAAAGCGAAGACCCCAUGGAGCUUUACUGCAACCUGUCGUUGUGAUAUGAAUUUCGAUGUGUAGGGUAGGCGGGAGACGUUACCCAGGAAUUGCCGCUAGGUAAUCUCCGAGUCGACGAUGAAACACCGCCCUUCGAACUUCGUACCACUAACUUCGAAAGAAGGACACCGAUAGGUAGGCAGUUUGGGUGGGGCGCCACGCGCUCAAAAAGAUAACAAGCGCGCCCAAUGGUCAGCUCAGGCAGGUCAGAAAUCUGCCGGUGAAUGUAAGGGUAAAAGCUGGCUUGACGCGGAUCCGGACAACAAGGAUCGGCGAUACGAAAGUAGGGCCUAGCGAACCAAUCAACCUUCUGAAUGGGGGUGAUUGAUGACAGAAAAGUUACCCUGGGGAUAAUUGAGUUGUCGCCAGCAAGAGUUCAUAUCGACCUGGCGGCUUGCUACUUCGCUGUCGGCUCUCCCUAUCCUGGUGGUGCAGCAGCUGCCAAGGGUGGGGUUGUUCGCCCAUUAAAAGGGAUCGUGAGCUGGGUUUAGACCGUCGUGAGACAGGUUUGUUGCUUUUUGGUGGAAGUGAAUUGAUGCCUGACGAGAAGGACCCUUGAGUACGAGAGGAACGGGGGUUCGGAGCCUCUAGUCAAUCAGUUGUCCGACAGGGCAUGCUGAGCAGCCACGCUCUAAUGGAUAAGAGCUGAAAGCAUCUAAGCUCGAAGCCACCUUGAAAAAGAGGCAUCUUAGGACGCUCAUAGUUGAUGAGCUUGAUAGAACCGGGAUGUAAGCAUCGAGGCCAUCCGAGAUGUUCAGUCCGCGGUAACUAACGUCCUCUGCCGCGUAA